This is a long non-coding RNA of Poecile atricapillus (Black-capped chickadee), 238 nucleotides long. RefSeq lists it as uncharacterized. Lineage: Eukaryota; Metazoa; Chordata; Aves; Passeriformes; Paridae. The record is from RefSeq and is a predicted model, not a curated record. The transcript has 3 exons.
UGGGCACCGAGGCCGGGGACGUGCUGGUGCUGGACCCCGAGGCCUUCACGGUCAUCUGCAAGGGCUGGGUGCCGUCCCCCCCCGCCUUCGUGGUGCCGCGGGGUCCCGGGGACGGGCGCUGCCGGCUGGUGGUGGCCUGCAGGACGGGACCCUGCGGGGGCUGAGCCGGUCCCGGGAGCAGGGCAGGAUUUUGGGGGUGCUGGGCUCGCGCCCGCCGGGCUGAUCCCACAGGACGGGG